Molecule: transfer RNA, 73 nt
Filed under: Operophtera brumata (winter moth)
Lineage: Eukaryota; Metazoa; Arthropoda; Insecta; Lepidoptera; Geometridae
Rfam family: tRNA
About the family: Transfer RNA (tRNA) molecules are approximately 80 nucleotides in length.
Source: Rfam by way of RNAcentral
CGUUCUGUGGCCGAACUGGUGAAGGCUUCGCUACUUACAGGCGAAGAUGCGGGUUCGAGUCCCGCUGGAACGG